This 253-nucleotide ribosomal RNA is filed under the name uncultured bacterium. Its description in RNAcentral is "partial 16S ribosomal RNA". It matches the Rfam family "Bacterial small subunit ribosomal RNA", at positions 524 to 776 of the family's 1533-position model. The record is from RNAcentral.
UACGGAGGGUGCAAGCGUUGUCCGGAUUUAUUGGGUUUAAAGGGUGCGUAGGUGGUCCUCUAAGUCUGGUUUGAAAGCUGGUGGCUCAACCAUUAGAUGUGGCUGGAAACUGGGGGACUUGAAUGGGUUGGCGGCUGCCGGAACGGGUCAUGUAGCGGUGAAAUGCAUAGAUAUGACCCAGAACACCGAUUGCGAAGGCAGGCAGCUAGGACCCGAUUGACACUGAGGCACGAGAGCAUGGGUAGCCAACAGG